This 915-nucleotide long non-coding RNA is filed under the name Lathyrus oleraceus (garden pea). Its description in RNAcentral is "Pisum sativum (pea) long non-coding RNA (PSAT_LNC010517)". Lineage: Eukaryota; Viridiplantae; Streptophyta; Magnoliopsida; Fabales; Fabaceae. The record is from RNAcentral.
UUCAGUUAUUCACAAUCCCUUUCAUUAAAACUAAACUAACACAACAAGUCAAUUUUGUUUAACUGCAACUACGAAUCGUGAUUAACAGAGGGAAAAGCAAACAAACUAACAUUAACCAAUUUUCUAAUUUAACUAACUGACUCAAACACUAACACUUCAAGCCAAAACUAACAGAAAAGUCUGAAACAAUCACAUAGUAAAGAACAAUUCCUAACUAACAAAAACAUCAUUUCAUAAAGCAGGAAGGUGAAUUCACAUUUCAUUUGAAUUUGAGUUUCAACCAACCUUUACAUUUCUAACUAACAGUUCAUUUCAUUGUGAAUUUCAUUUGAAUCUCUAACAAACUCUGCAACUCUAUAUAAACAAUAACUCACUGCAUUUUCAGCAUCCAUGAACAUUCAAUCUUCACUUUGCAUCGCCAUCAUCAUCAAAAUCAACCCCUCAGAACCACUCUCACGCUCAGAACCUCACAUAACCUCUCAAUCCGCAUGCAACGAAUGCAACAACAACACACGCAAUACAAAAAGCGGAGGGAGAAGAAACAUAAGCAAUUCAAAGAAGAUUGAAACAGAAGUGAGAAGAAGUAGAGGUAUACGCAGAGCAAGGCAUAGAUAAUCGAUACAUGUUCGUGCCACGUAGCUUGAGCUCAAAUUCCGGUAAAUUUUCCUCUACCUUUUUAUUAUGAUCCAUGACUCAUUGUGUUGUUCGCUUCAAUUAGAUUUCUUUCGAUUCUGCGCUCGCACAAUGAUGAACCAAAUUGGAUGUUGAUGUUGAUUUCGGAGAUUGAAUGAACCUCAGAGCUUUGUUUUUCAUCUUUUCUUCGUUCUGAUUUCAAAGUGGAAAACGUGAGGUUUGAACGCGAUGAAGUCUUGGCUGCAUCGAGGUGGAUUUUGAAUGAUGUUGGUUCCAGGUUUG